AUGCUCAGUGAUUACAAAAAUAUGCGUUAUUCUGAGGAAGCAAACUGCCGCCAGCCUCUUUCUCCCUCUGCUUCUCCUCCUCCUCUCCUUCCGUUUUCCUCUUCUUCCUCCUUGACUUCCUCACGCUGGGCGGCGGUCCACUGAUUGCGAUUAUGAAACCUGAGGGCAU
Entelurus aequoreus (snake pipefish) is the source of this 169-nucleotide small nucleolar RNA. RefSeq annotates it as small nucleolar RNA SNORD97. The record is from RefSeq and is a predicted model, not a curated record. The transcript has a single exon. Lineage: Eukaryota; Metazoa; Chordata; Actinopteri; Syngnathiformes; Syngnathidae.